RNAcentral lists this ribosomal RNA (432 nucleotides) under uncultured bacterium. Its description in RNAcentral is "partial 16S ribosomal RNA". It matches the Rfam family "Bacterial small subunit ribosomal RNA", at positions 29 to 506 of the family's 1533-position model. The record is from RNAcentral.
AACGAACGCUGGCGGCAUGCCUAACACAUGCAAGUCGAACGAGACCUUCGGGUCUAGUGGCGCACGGGUGCGUAACGCGUGGGGACCUGCCCUUAGGUUCGGAAUAACUCCCCGAAAGGGGUGCUAAUACCGGAUAAUGUCUUCGGACCAAAGAUUUAUCGCCUUUGGAUGGGCCCGCGUUGGAUUAGCUAGUUGGUAGGGUAAAAGCCUACCAAGGCGACGAUCCAUAGCUGGUCUGAGAGGAUGAUCAGCCACACUGGGACUGAGACACGGCCCAGACUCCUACGGGGGGCAGCAGGGGGGAAUAUUGGAAAAUGGGCGAAAGCCUGAUCCAGCAAUGCCGGGUGAGGGAUGAAGGCCUUAGGGUUGUAAAGCUCUUUUACCCGGGAUGAUAAUGACAGUACCGGGAGAAUAAGCCCCGGCUAACUCCGU